Molecule: ribosomal RNA, 253 nt
Filed under: uncultured bacterium
Lineage: Bacteria
Description: partial 16S ribosomal RNA
Rfam family: Bacterial small subunit ribosomal RNA
Source: RNAcentral
GACGAAGGGGGCUAGCGUUGUUCGGAAUUACUGGGCGUAAAGCGCGUGUAGGCGGUUGUCCAAGUUGGAUGUGAAAGCCUUGAGCUUAACUCAAGAAAUGCAUUCAGGACUGGAUGACUAGAGGACCGGAGAGGAUAGUGGAAUUCCCAGUGUAGUGGUGGAAUACGUAGAGAUUGGGAAGAACACCAGUGGCGAAGGCGGCUAUCUGGACGGUUUCUGACGCUAAGACACGAAAGCGUGGGGAGCAAACAGG